Molecule: unclassified non-coding RNA, 318 nt
Filed under: fungal sp.
Lineage: Eukaryota; Fungi
Description: partial internal transcribed spacer region
Rfam family: Eukaryotic small subunit ribosomal RNA (bases 1-46)
Source: RNAcentral
AAGUCGUAACAAGGUUUCCGUAGGUGAACCUGCGGAAGGAUCAUUAACACGUUCUAACACGUAUCCACCCACCGCGCACUCAUACCUCCCCACGUCUCAACAGAGGCAUGGGCCAAAUCAAGUCACAGGGGGAACAGACGCGCAUGAGGCGAAAGCCACGUGCAGCUCUGUGCCUCUGUGUGCUUGUUUAUUUUCACUUUUUUCACCCCAUGAUAUUACUACAAGUUGACUUAUUUUCGGGCUCUGAGUGCUUGCACUCGUGCUCUUUAUUCCUAGUGAAUGAAAAUACAACUCUUAGCAAUGGAUAUCUUGGUUCUC